UGGGGAAUAUUGGACAAUGGGCGCACACCUGAUCCAGCCAUGCCGCGUGUGUGAAGAAGGCCUUUUGGUUGUAUAGCACUUUAAGCGAGGAGGAGGCUACUUGGAUUAAUACUCUAGGAUAGUGGACGUUACUCGCAGAAUAAGCACCGGCUAACCCUGUGCCAGCAGCCGCGGUAAUACAGAGGGUGCGAGCGUUAAUCGGAUUUACUGGGCGUAAAGCGUGCGUAGGCGGCUUCUUAAGUCGGAUGUGAAAUCCCUGAGCUUAACUUAGGAAUUGCAUUCGAUACUGGGAAGCUAGAGUAUGGGAGAGGAGGGUAGAAUUCAAGGUGGAGCGGUGAAAUGCGUAGAGAUCUGGGGGAAUACCGAUGGCGAAGGCAGCAAUCUGGCCUAAUACUGACGCUGAGGUACGAGAGCAUGGGGAGCAAACAGG
RNAcentral lists this ribosomal RNA (430 nucleotides) under Acidobacteriota bacterium. Its description in RNAcentral is "Acidobacteria bacterium partial 16S ribosomal RNA". It matches the Rfam family "Bacterial small subunit ribosomal RNA", at positions 355 to 776 of the family's 1533-position model. The record is from RNAcentral. Lineage: Bacteria; Pseudomonadati; Acidobacteriota.